UGGGGAAUUUUGGACAAUGGGCGAAAGCCUGAUCCAGCCAUGCCGCGUGAGUGAAGAAGGCCUUCGGGUUGUAAAGCUCUUUUAGUCGGAAAGAAAGAGUUGCAAUGAAUAAUUGUGAUUUAUGACGGUACCGACAGAAAAAGCACCGGCUAACUACGUGCCAGCAGCCGCGGUAAUACGUAGGGUGCGAGCGUUAAUCGGAAUUACUGGGCGUAAAGGGUGCGCAGGCGGUCUGGCAAGUCAGAUGUGAAAGCCCCGGGGUUAACGUGGGAAUUGCGUUUGAAACUACAAGGCUAGAGUGCAGCAGAGGGGAGUGGAAUUCCAUGUGUAGCAGUGAAAUGCGUAGAGAUGUGGAAGAACACCGAUGGCGAAGGCAGCUCCCUGGGUUGACACUGACGCUCAUGCACGAAAGCGUGGGGAGCAAACA
RNAcentral lists this ribosomal RNA (427 nucleotides) under uncultured beta proteobacterium. RNAcentral's name for it is "bacterial SSU rRNA". It matches the Rfam family "Bacterial small subunit ribosomal RNA", at positions 355 to 774 of the family's 1533-position model. Lineage: Bacteria; Pseudomonadati; Pseudomonadota; Betaproteobacteria. The record is from RNAcentral.